RNAcentral lists this ribosomal RNA (814 nucleotides) under uncultured bacterium. RNAcentral describes it as "bacterial SSU rRNA". It matches the Rfam family "Bacterial small subunit ribosomal RNA", at positions 8 to 796 of the family's 1533-position model. The record is from RNAcentral.
AGAGUUUGAUCAUGGCUCAGAACGAACGCUGGCGGCGUGCCUAACACAUGCAAGUCGAACGAGAAAGGGGUAGCAAUACCCCCAGUAAAGUGGCGAACGGGUGAGUAACACGUGGGUAACCUGCCCUCGAGCUCGGAAUAACCCGCCGAAAGGUGGGCUAAUACCGGAUAACGAUUCGGGUCCUUAGGGACCUGAAUCCAAAGAUGGCCAAUGCUUGCAAGCUAUCACUUGAGGAGGGGCCCGCGGCCCAUUAGCUAGUUGGCGGGGUAAUGGCCCACCAAGGCGACGAUGGGUAGCCGGCCUGAGAGGGCGAUCGGCCACAUUGGAACUGAGACACGGUCCAGACUCCUACGGGAGGCAGCAGUGAGGAAUCUUGCGCAAUGGGCGAAAGCCUGACGCAGCAACGCCGCGUGGGUGAUGAAGGCCUUCGGGUCGUAAAACCCUGUCAGGUGGGAAGAAUCGGGCGGGGGCUAAUAUCCCUCGCCCCUGACUGUACCACCAGAGGAAGCCCCGGCUAACUCCGUGCCAGCAGCCGCGGUAAUACGGAGGGGGCCAGCGUUGUUCGGAAUCAUUGGGCGUAAAGGGCGCGUAGGCGGCUGGGUAAGUCUGACGUGAAAUCCCUUGGCUCAACCAAGGAAUUGCGUCUUAAACUGCUCAGCUUGAGUCCGGGAGAGGGUAGUGGAAUUCCCAGUGUAGCGGUGAAAUGCGUAGAUAUUGGGAGGAACACCGGUGGCGAAGGCGGCUACCUGGACCGGUACUGACGCUGAGGCGCGAAAGCUAGGGGAGCAAACAGGAUUAGAUACCCUAGUAGUCC